RNAcentral lists this signal recognition particle RNA (89 nucleotides) under Pantoea ananatis. Its description in RNAcentral is "Bacterial small signal recognition particle RNA". It matches the Rfam family "Bacterial small signal recognition particle RNA". From Rfam's summary of the family: The signal recognition particle (SRP) is a universally conserved ribonucleoprotein involved in the co-translational targeting of proteins to membranes. Archaeal SRP consists of a 7S RNA and homologues of the eukaryotic SRP19 and SRP54 proteins. In most bacteria, the SRP consists of a 4.5S RNA and the Ffh protein (a homologue of the eukaryotic SRP54 protein). Lineage: Bacteria; Pseudomonadati; Pseudomonadota; Gammaproteobacteria; Enterobacterales; Erwiniaceae. The record is from RNAcentral.
UUGGUUCUCCCGCAAUGCUAGCUUGUGAACUCGGUCAGGUCCGGAAGGAAGCAGCCGCAGCAGGUGACGUGUGUGCCGGGAUGUAGCUG